AUUGAACGCUGGCGGCAUGCCUUACACAUGCAAGUCGAACGGUAACGCGGGGCAACCUGGCGACGAGUGGCGAACGGGUGAGUAAUGCAUCGGAACGUGCCCAGUAGUGGGGGAUAGCCCGGCGAAAGCCGGAUUAAUACCGCAUACGACCUAUGGGUGAAAGCGGGGGAUCGAAAGACCUCGCGCUAUUGGAGCGGCCGAUGUCAGAUUAGGUUGUUGGUGGGGUAAAAGCCGACCAAGCCUGCGAUCUGUAGCUGGUCUGAGAGGACGACCAGCCACGCUGGGACUGAGACACGGCCCAGACUCGUACGGGAGGCAGCAGUGGGGAAUUUUGGACAAUGGGCGCAAGCCUGAUCCAGCCAUGCCGCGUGCGGGAAGAAGGCCUUCGGGUUGUAAACCGCUUUUGGCGGGGAAGAAAUCUUCUGGGCUAAUACCUUGGGAGGAUGACGGUACCCGAAGAAUAAGCACCGGCUAACUACGUGCCAGCAGCCGCCGUAA
This 498-nucleotide ribosomal RNA is filed under the name uncultured bacterium. Its description in RNAcentral is "partial 16S ribosomal RNA". It matches the Rfam family "Bacterial small subunit ribosomal RNA", at positions 29 to 523 of the family's 1533-position model. The record is from RNAcentral.